GAUGAACGCUGGCGGCGUGCCUAAUACAUGCAAGUCGAGCGAAUGGAUUAAGAGCUUGCUCUUAUGAAGUUAGCGGCGGACGGGUGAGUAACACGUGGGUAACCUGCCCAUAAGACUGGGAUAACUCCGGGAAACCGGGGCUAAUACCGGAUAACAUUUUGAACCGCAUGGUUCGAAAUUGAAAGGCGGCUUCGGCUGUCACUUAUGGAUGGACUCGCGUCGCAUUAGCUAGUUGGUGAGGUAACGGCUCACCAAGGCAACGAUGCGUAGCCGACCUGAGAGGGUGAUCGGCCACACUGCGGACGAGACACGGCCCAGACUCCUACGGGAGGCAGCAGUAGGGAAUCUUCCGCAAUGGACGAAAGUCUGACGGAGCAACGCCGCGUGAGUGAUGAAGGCUUUCGGGUCGUAAAACUCUGUUGUUAGGGAAGAACAAGUGCUAGUUGAAUAAGCUGGCACCUUGACGGUACCUAACCAGAAAGCCACGGCUAACUACGUGCCAGCCGCCGCAGUAA
RNAcentral lists this ribosomal RNA (515 nucleotides) under uncultured bacterium. Its description in RNAcentral is "partial 16S ribosomal RNA". It matches the Rfam family "Bacterial small subunit ribosomal RNA", at positions 28 to 523 of the family's 1533-position model. The record is from RNAcentral.